RNAcentral lists this ribosomal RNA (498 nucleotides) under uncultured bacterium. RNAcentral describes it as "bacterial SSU rRNA". It matches the Rfam family "Bacterial small subunit ribosomal RNA", at positions 338 to 850 of the family's 1533-position model. The record is from RNAcentral.
CCUACGGGAGGCAGCAGUGGGGAAUUUUCCGCAAUGGGCGAAAGCCUGACGGAGCAACGCCGCGUGAGGGAUGAAGGCCUCUGGGCUGUAAACCUCUUUUAUCAAGGAAGAAAAUCUGACGGUACUUGAUGAAUAAGCCACAGCUAAUUCCGUGCCAGCAGCCGCGGUAAUACGGGAGUGGCAAGCGGUAUCCGGAAUUAUUGGGCGUAAAGCGUCCGCAGGCGGCCCUUCAAGUCUGCUGUUAAAAAGUGGAGCUUAACUCCAUCAUGGCAGUGGAAACUGUUGGGCUUGAGUGUGGUAGGGGCAGAGGGAAUUCCCGGUGUAGCGGUGAAAUGCGUAGAUAUCGGGAAGAACACCAGUGGCGAAGGCGCUCUGCUGGGCCAUCACUGACGCUCAUGGACGAAAGCCAGGGGAGCGAAAGGGAUUAGAUACCCCUGUAGUCCUGGCCGUAAAUGAUGAACACUAGGUGUCGGGGGAAUCGACCCCCUCGGUGUCGUA